Plodia interpunctella (Indianmeal moth) is the source of this 836-nucleotide long non-coding RNA. RefSeq lists it as uncharacterized. The record is from RefSeq and is a predicted model, not a curated record. Lineage: Eukaryota; Metazoa; Arthropoda; Insecta; Lepidoptera; Pyralidae. The transcript is spliced from 2 exons.
UCAAUAUAUAUAGAGAAAAAAAUAUAAUUCUAAAAAACUAUGAGUGACGUCACAGCUCGACCACAUUAGACAUGUUUCCUUUGCCUGAACCGCCACCCACUAAAAAAGUAUAAAACGUCACGUAAUGUACAACAAAUGACCGAAAACAUAACCUAAACUCAUUGUUUACUGCUCCUUCCUUUUGCACUAUUUUUGAUUGUUUCGUAAAUUCAUUAUAAUUGUUUUGUUAGAUCAUCAUCAAAAUCAAAAUGACACCAUUUUUACACUACAGACUUGGCUUAUGCCUUCUUCUUCAGUGGAUAUUAGCCACUCUUAUUUAUAUAUAAAUAUUCAAUACAAAAGACUUGGCUGUAUGGGCUAGUACCCUUUGCCUCCUCAAUAAAACGAGGGAAUAAACAAAAAAAAAAAUCAAAAUUACACUACACAAAAAUCUUGGAAACCGAUUAAGUAUCUAUAUUGCUUUGUUUCAACAUGUAAAAAUAGUACGAAGAGGACACCAAACAAGUUGCUUUUUAAGGUUCCUUUCGUGAAUCGUAAAACUUGAUGUGAUCGCUCUGAUGUGCCAAAGGCCAGUUGGAUAUUUACGAGGAUCAUAUUAACGUUGAAGAAGAUGUUGAUAACUAUUUGCAAUCGAAAUUUGGGAAAUAUCAACCUCAAUUGAAAAGUUCGGUAUGUAUACACACAGAAAAAGUAAUUCAAAGACUGAGGAGAUUCAAGUUUUUGAAGCCACAGUCUACUAUUAAUAAUAACUUGGAUCGACUGUGUUGAUCAUGUAGUUUUUGUAGCUUGUGGUUUAAUCAAUUUAUCACCCAUAAUAAAAAAGCUUUAAAUAUCAU